AAAUUGAAGAGUUUGAUCAUGGCUCAGAUUGAACGCUGGCGGCAGGCCUAACACAUGCAAGUCGAACGGUAACAGGAAACAGCUUGCUGUUUCGCUGACGAGUGGCGGACGGGUGAGUAAUGUCUGGGAAACUGCCUGAUGGAGGGGGAUAACUACUGGAAACGGUAGCUAAUACCGCAUAAUGUCGCAAGACUAAAGAGGGGGACCUUCGGGCCUCUUGCCAUCGGAUGUGCCCAGAUGGGAUUAGCUAGUAGGUGGGGUAACGGCUCACCUAGGCGACGAUCC
RNAcentral lists this ribosomal RNA (285 nucleotides) under Escherichia coli. RNAcentral describes it as "partial 16S ribosomal RNA". It matches the Rfam family "Bacterial small subunit ribosomal RNA", at positions 1 to 282 of the family's 1533-position model. RNAcentral also lists the same sequence under 1 other name. Lineage: Bacteria; Pseudomonadati; Pseudomonadota; Gammaproteobacteria; Enterobacterales; Enterobacteriaceae. The record is from RNAcentral.